CUACAGCUGAUCGUACGUCGAAGUACCAGUCCUGACUGAACCAGUCUAGUCUACGAGCAGCACGGGUAAUUGACCAUGGCAACCUGAUCCAGCCAUGCCGAUUGAUGAGACGCCUGCGGUAGAAAUCUUCUUCGGCGGGAAGAAUUCCUCAUCUUCUUAGUGCGGGGGUGUGGAUGACGUACUGAAGAAGAAGCACGACUACUACGUGCCAGCAGCGCGUAAUACGUAGGGUGCGAGCGUUAAUCGGAAUUACGGGCGUAAAGCGUGCGCAGGCGGCGCCAUAAGACAGCUGUGAAAUCCCCGGGCUUAACCUGGGAACUGCGGUUGUGACUGUGGUGCUUGAGUGCGGCAGAGGGGGGUGGAAUUUCCACGUGUAGCAGUGAAAUGCGUAGAGAUGUGGAGGAACACCGAUGGCGAAGGCAGCCCCGUGGGUCGACACUGACGCUCAUGCACGAAAGCGUGGGGAGCAAACAGGAUUAGAUACCCUGGUAGUCCACGCCCUAAACGAUGCGAACUAGGUGUUGGGGAAGGAGACUUCUUUAGUACCGUAGCUAACGCGUGAAGUUCGCCGCCUGGGGAGUACGGUCGCAAGAUUAAAACUCAAAGGAAUUGACGGGGACCCGCACAAGCGGUGGAUGAUGUGGAUUAAUUCGAUGCAACGCGAAAAACCUUACCUACCC
RNAcentral lists this ribosomal RNA (680 nucleotides) under uncultured bacterium. RNAcentral's name for it is "bacterial SSU rRNA". It matches the Rfam family "Bacterial small subunit ribosomal RNA", at positions 274 to 980 of the family's 1533-position model. The record is from RNAcentral.